This 432-nucleotide ribosomal RNA is filed under the name uncultured bacterium. RNAcentral describes it as "bacterial SSU rRNA". It matches the Rfam family "Bacterial small subunit ribosomal RNA", at positions 29 to 507 of the family's 1533-position model. The record is from RNAcentral.
AACGAACGCUGGCGGCAGGCCUAACACAUGCAAGUCGAGCGCCCCGCAAGGGGAGCGGCGGACGGGUGAGUAACACGUGGGAACGUACCCUUUGCUACGGAAUAGUCUCGGGAAACUGGGGGUAAUACCGUAUGUGCCCUUCGGGGGAAAGAUUUAUCGGCAAAGGAUCGGCCCGCGUUGGAUUAGGUAGUUGGUGGGGUAAUGGCCUACCAAGCCGACGAUCCAUAGCUGGUUUGAGAGGAUGAUCAGCCACACUGGGACUGAGACACGGCCCAGACUCCUACGGGAGGCAGCAGUGGGGAAUCUUAGACAAUGGGCGCAAGCCUGAUCUAGCCAUGCCGCGUGAGCGAUGAGGGGCCUUAGGGUUGUAAAGCUCUUUCAGUGGGGAAGAUAAUGACUGUACCCACAGAAGAAGCCCCGACUAACUCCGUG